AUGAGGAGCCGUGGUAGCUUCGCUCUGAACCAUGCGGUGGCGUUUCUCGUGUGGUGGAUGGUGCAUUGCGGCAGUGAGCUCGUUGCCGCCGUGCCUCCUGAUGGUUGGUACGAUUACACUGCCCACACGGACUGCAGAGGCCGCCCGGAGCCGGCGCAGUACAACGGCGGGAUUCUCAAGUACGGCAACGGCGACGACCCGAACGGGUACAAGACGACGGAGACUGGCGUCCUGUCCCCGGCGUUCGUGGUCUACAACCUCAACAAGUCCACAAUGUACACCUUCUCAGGCUGGGUGAAGCUGGAAGGCUCUCCCUCGGCUCUGAUCACCGCGAGGCUGGCCCCGGACAACUCCGGCACACGGUGCAUCGGGACGGUCCUCGCCAGGAGCGACUGCUGGGCGUUCCUCAAGGGUGGCUUCGUCCUCGACUGGCCAACUCAGACCUCCGUCAUCUUCUUCCAGAAUGCUGAUAGGACCCCGAUGAAGAUCACCACUGCGAGCGCCUCGCUCCAGCCGUUCACGACGGAUCAAUGGUCGAUGCACCAGAAAGAUACGAUCCGGAAGAGGAGGAAGAGGAUGGCCACCGUCCACGUCGCCGACCCGCACGGCACCCGGGUGGUCGGCGCGUCGGUGUCCGUGCAGCAGACGGCUAAGGACUUCCCGCUUGGGUCGGCGAUCGCCUCCACCAUCCUGGGCAACGACGCGUACCAGAAGUGGUUCGUGGACCGGUUCAACGCGGCGGUGUUCGAGGACGAGCUCAAGUGGUACUCGACGGAGCCGGCGUCGGGGCUGCUCCGGUUCGACGUGCCGGACCAGAUGCUGGCGUUCGUGCGGUCGCACCGGGUGAUGGUGCGCGGGCACAACAUCUUCUGGGAGAACCAGGACGCCACGCCCCGGUGGGUCAAGGGCCUGUCGCCGGACGACCUCCGCUCCGCCGUGAACACGCGCAUCCAGAGCCUCAUGACCCGCUACCGCGGCGAGUUCGCGCACUGGGACGUCAACAACGAGAUGCUGCACUUCAACUUCUACGAGCAGCGGCUGGGCCCCAACGCCACCAUGGAGUUCUUCAGCGUGGCGCAGGACGCCGACCCGCUCGCCACGCUCUUCAUGAACGAGUACAACGUGGUGGAGACCUGCGACGACGUGUCCUCGACCGUCGACGCGUACGUGGCCCGACUCAAGGACCUCCGGGCCGGCGGCGCCGUGCUGGAGGGGAUCGGCCUCGAGGGCCACUUCUCCAAGCCCAACAUCCCCUACAUGAGGGCCGUGCUCGACAAGCUGGCCACGCUCAACCUGCCCAUCUGGUUCACCGAGAUCGACAUCAACAACAAGUUCGACGCGCAGACGCAGGCCGUGUACCUGGAGCAGGUGCUGCGGGAGGCGUACGCGCACCCGGCGGUGAGCGGCGUCAUGCUCUGGACGGCGCUGCACGAGAACGGGUGCUACCAGAUGUGCCUCACGGACUGGAACCUCAAGAACCUGCCCGUCGGGGACGUCGUCGACCGCCUGCUGCAGGAGUGGCAGACGGGGCAGGUCGCCGGGCCGACGGACGUGCACGGCGCCUACAGCUUCAGCGGCUACCUCGGCGAGUACGUGGUCACCGUGAACGCCGGCAACACGUCGAAGCAGGCCACCUUCUCGCUGUCCCCAGGGGACGAGACCAGGCACAUCACCGUUCAGAUAUGA
RNAcentral lists this ribosomal RNA (1686 nucleotides) under Triticum aestivum (bread wheat). RNAcentral describes it as "partial small subunit ribosomal RNA". The record is from RNAcentral. Lineage: Eukaryota; Viridiplantae; Streptophyta; Magnoliopsida; Poales; Poaceae.